This 469-nucleotide ribosomal RNA is filed under the name uncultured bacterium. Its description in RNAcentral is "partial 16S ribosomal RNA". It matches the Rfam family "Bacterial small subunit ribosomal RNA", at positions 28 to 507 of the family's 1533-position model. The record is from RNAcentral.
GACGAACGCUGGCGGCGUGCUUAACACAUGCAAGUCGAACGGUGAAGCGAGUGCUUGCACUCGUGGAUCAGUGGCGAACGGGUGAGUAACACGUGAGUAACCUGUCCAUCACUCUGGGAUAAGCACUGGAAACGGUGUCUAAUACUGGAUACGACCAACCCUUGCAUGGGGUGCCGGCGGAAAGAUUUAUCGGUGAUGGAUGGACUCGCGGCCUAUCAGCUUGUUGGCGGGGUAAUGGCCCACCAAGGCGACGACGGGUAGCCGGCCUGAGAGGGUGACCGGCCCAGCUGGGACUGAGACACGGCCCAGACUCCUACGGGAGGCAGCAGUGCGGAAUAUUGCACAAUGGGCGGAAGCCUGAUGCAGCGACGCCGCGUGGGGGAUGACGGCCUUCGGGUUGUAAACCUCUUUCAGCAGAGAAGAAGCGAAAGUGACGGUACCUGCAGAAGAAGCACCGGCUAACUACGUG